UCACUGGUGGUCUAGUGGUUAGGAUUCAGCAUUUUCAAUGCCUUGGCCCAGAUUCAAUCCCUGGUUGGGGAA
This 72-nucleotide transfer RNA is filed under the name Bos taurus (domestic cattle). It matches the Rfam family "tRNA". Rfam says of the family: Transfer RNA (tRNA) molecules are approximately 80 nucleotides in length. Their secondary structure includes four short double-helical elements and three loops (D, anti-codon, and T loops). Lineage: Eukaryota; Metazoa; Chordata; Mammalia; Artiodactyla; Bovidae. RNAcentral also lists the same sequence under 4 other names. The record is from Rfam by way of RNAcentral.